UAGGGAAUCUUCCGCAAUGGGCGAAAGCCUGACGGAGCAACGCCGCGUGAGUGAUGAAGGUCUUCGGAUCGUAAAACUCUGUUAUUAGGGAAGAACAAAUGUGUAAGUAACUAUGCACGUCUUGACGGUACCUAAUCAGAAAGCCACGGCUAACUACGUGCCAGCAGCCUCGGUAAUACGUAGGUGGCAAGCGUUAUCCGGAAUUAUUGGGCGUAAAGCGCGCGUAGGCGGUUUUUUAAGUCUGAUGUGAAAGCCCACGGCUCAACCGUGGAGGGUCAUUGGAAACUGGAAAACUUGAGUGCAGAAGAGGAAAGUGGAAUUCCAUGUGUAGCGGUGAAAUGCGCAGAGAUAUGGAGGAACACCAGUGGCGAAGGCGACUUUCUGGUCUGUAACUGACGCUGAUGGGCGAAAGCGUGGGGAUCAAACAGG
This 429-nucleotide ribosomal RNA is filed under the name Actinomycetes bacterium. Its description in RNAcentral is "Actinobacteria bacterium partial 16S ribosomal RNA". It matches the Rfam family "Bacterial small subunit ribosomal RNA", at positions 355 to 776 of the family's 1533-position model. Lineage: Bacteria; Bacillati; Actinomycetota; Actinomycetes. The record is from RNAcentral.